RNAcentral lists this ribosomal RNA (429 nucleotides) under Pseudomonadota bacterium. RNAcentral's name for it is "Proteobacteria bacterium partial 16S ribosomal RNA". It matches the Rfam family "Bacterial small subunit ribosomal RNA", at positions 355 to 776 of the family's 1533-position model. The record is from RNAcentral. Lineage: Bacteria; Pseudomonadati; Pseudomonadota.
UGGGGAAUAUUGGACAAUGGGCGAAAGCCUGAUCCAGCCAUGCCGCGUGUGUGAAGAAGGUCUUCGGAUUGUAAAGCACUUUAAGUUGGGAGGAAGGGCAGUAAGCGAAUACCUUGCUGUUUUGACGUUACCGACAGAAUAAGCACCGGCUAACUCUGUGCCAGCAGCCGCGGUAAUACAGAGGGUGCAAGCGUUAAUCGGAAUUACUGGGCGUAAAGCGCGCGUAGGUGGUUCGUUAAGUUGAAUGUGAAAGCCCCGGGCUCAACCUGGGAACUGCAUCCAAAACUGGCGAGCUAGAGUAGGGCAGAGGGUGGUGGAUUUUCCUGUGUAGCGGUGAAAUGCGUAGAUAUAGGAAGGAACACCAGUGGCGAAGGCGACCACCUGGGCUCAUACUGACACUGAGGUGCGAAAGCGUGGGGAGCAAACAGG